CUCUUAACGGGGGAUCACUCGG
Molecule: ribosomal RNA, 22 nt
Filed under: Penaeus setiferus (white shrimp)
Lineage: Eukaryota; Metazoa; Arthropoda; Malacostraca; Decapoda; Penaeidae
Description: partial 5.8S ribosomal RNA
Source: RNAcentral